This 254-nucleotide ribosomal RNA is filed under the name uncultured bacterium. RNAcentral's name for it is "partial 16S ribosomal RNA". It matches the Rfam family "Bacterial small subunit ribosomal RNA", at positions 524 to 776 of the family's 1533-position model. The record is from RNAcentral.
UACGCGGGGGGCGAGCGUUGUUCGGAAUUAUUGGGCGUAAAGGGCGCGUAGGUGGUUCGGUAAGUCGGAUGUGAAAUCUCCAGGCUCAACCUGGAGGGGUCAUUCGAUACUGCCGUGACUAGAGGUCGGUAGGGGAGUGUGGAAUUCCUGGUGGAGCGGUGAAAUGCGCAGAUAUCAGGAGGAACACCCGUAGCGAAGGCGGCACUCUGGGCCGAUACUGACACUGAGGAGCGAAAGCGUGGGGAGCGAACAGG